This 324-nucleotide ribosomal RNA is filed under the name uncultured eukaryote. RNAcentral describes it as "partial 18S ribosomal RNA". It matches the Rfam family "Eukaryotic small subunit ribosomal RNA", at positions 1470 to 1796 of the family's 1831-position model. The record is from RNAcentral.
CCCUUAGAUGCUCUGGGCCGCACGCGCGCUACACUGGUCGAUGCAACGAGUUUCUUUCCUUGGCCGACAGGCCUGGGCAAUCUUUGAACAUCGAUCGUGAUCGGGAUAGAUUCUUGUAAUUUUUGAUCUUAAACGAGGAAUUCCUAGUAAACGCAAGUCAUCAGCUUGCAUUGAUUACGUCCCUGCCCUUUGUACACACCGCCCGUCGCACCUACCGAUUGAAUGGUCCGGUGAAAUCUCCGGACUGGCGUGAGUCGGAGCAAUCUGACAAACGCCGGAAAGUUGAUUAAACCUUACCAUUUAGAGGAAGGUGAGGUCGUAACA